Molecule: ribosomal RNA, 449 nt
Filed under: uncultured bacterium
Lineage: Bacteria
Description: partial 16S ribosomal RNA
Rfam family: Bacterial small subunit ribosomal RNA
Source: RNAcentral
AAUGAACGCUGGCGGCAGGCCUAACACAUGCAAGUCGAACGAGGUAGCAAUACCUAGUGGCGGACGGGUGAGUAACGCGUGGGAACGUGCCCCUUGGUACGGAAUAGCCCUGGGAAACUGGGAGUAAUACCGGAUGUGGUCGGGAGACGAAAGAUUUAUCGCCAAGGGAUCGGCCCGCGUUGGAUUAGGUAGUUGGUGGGGUAAUGGCCUACCAAGCCGACGAUCCAUGGCUGGUUUGAGAGGAUGAUCAGCCACACUGGGACUGAGACACGGCCCAGACUCCUACGGGAGGCAGCAGUGGGGAAUCUUAGACAAUGGGGGAAACCCUGAUCUAGCCAUGCCGCGUGAUCGAUGAAGGCCUUAGGGUUGUAAAGAUCUUUCAGUGGGGAAGAUAAUGACGGUACCCACAGAAGAAGCCCCGGCUAACUCCGUGCCAGCCGCCGCCGUAA